GGCGAACGCUGGCGGCGUGCUUAACACAUGCAAGUCGAACGGUAAGGCCCUUCGGGGUACACGAGUGGCGAACGGGUGAGUAACACGUGGGUGAUCUGCCCUGCACUUCGGGAUAAGCCUGGGAAACUGGGUCUAAUACCGGAUAGGACCACUGCCUACAUGGGUGGUGGUGGAAAGCUGUUGCGGUGUGGGAUGGGCCCGCGGCCUAUCAGCUUGUUGGUGGGGUGAUGGCCUACCAAGGCGACGACGGGCAGCCGGCCUGAGAGGGUGACCGGCCGCACUGGGACUGAGAUACGGCCCAGACUCCUACGGGAGGCAGCAGUGGGGAAUAUUGCACAAUGGGCGCAAGCCUGAUGCAGCGACGCCGCGUGAGGGAUGACGGCCUUCGGGUUGUAAACCUCUUUCAGCACCGACGAAGCGCAAGUGACGGUAGGUGCAGAAGAAGGACCGGCCAACUACGUGCCAGCAGCCGCGGUAA
Molecule: ribosomal RNA, 478 nt
Filed under: uncultured bacterium
Lineage: Bacteria
Description: partial 16S ribosomal RNA
Rfam family: Bacterial small subunit ribosomal RNA
Source: RNAcentral